UAACCAAAUGACGCCCCCCAUCUCCCACUCUUCUGUCGCAUCUCUUCCACUCUCAAACUCGUCGUAACUCACAAACCUGGCGAGUUCACUCAUUGGUCCCUCCAUGGUCCUCGCUCUCUUAUCUUCUCCUUCUUCCACAUCACCUACCCGUACAAACCUCAUGAUUCCUUAACUGAUUCACGCGUUUUUUUCACUCUUUUGUUUUUGUUGAAACGAAUCCGAAGCCCUUUGAUAAAUAUUAGAAAAAUGGUAGCCAUUGGAUUAAAGUUUUGAUCCAAGGGCUUCCAUUUUUCUGAUUUUUAAUAGAAAAAUGGGAUUUUUGGAAUCUUUUGGAGGCCCACACGUUUUCUUGGAGAGCAAGGGAGAAGAUUCUGGGAUCUAUAUAUAAUAGGCUCAUUUUUGGUUGUAAGGGGGUUUUCAGAGAAGAAAUUUCGAGAAAAGUAGAAAAAAAAAUUAGGGUUUGGUCUUAGGCUUUAGAGGUCUUCUGUUCAUCUGAUAUUUGACGAAAGUUUGAUCCAAAAAUUUUUGUUUCUUUCUAUUUCCUUGUUUUUAUUUCAAAAGUCAGAGAAAACAAAAAUAAAAAAAAAGUAUACGAAAAUUUCUGUUACUUCUUUCAAUUUCGAUUUCUGGUGUUCAAACCAGGAAGUUUGAGUCCGAUCAUUUUGGGUUCCGAUCUGCGGUUCUGUGUCGCCUCAGAUUCUCAUCGCUGUAUUUGCUGUUCCAGGUCCCUUCCCUAUCUUUGUCUUAAUUUGAAUUAUUGUGAAAAUCAUAAUGAGAGUUGUUUUAAAAUGGGAAUAAAUUUUUUUUAUUUGGUUUUGAAGUUCAAGAAUUCUUUUGUUCCCUGUUUGCUUAGAGUGUCUACGUCUAAUUUGAGUUUAAUGUUCGACAUUAGUAUCUGCUAUGGUAUCUUGUUUCUUUAUUGGUUUCUUUUCCUUAUUAGAAUCUAAUUUAGGGUAAUAAUUUGACUUCAUUUACUUCCUUAGUCGUUGCCUACAUGAGUUCUUAAACAUGAUUCCCUUACCUUAUUUUAGUUGUGAUAACUUAAUACUAAAUUGGUAAAGUUUAGGCAGUGUUACAUGAGUUUAGUUGAUUAAGGAAUCGUAAGGAGUAGACAUUGCAUAUAAAUAUGUGUGUGUGUAUAUAUAUACACAAAAGUGUUGUAAUGGUCUAAUAACUCAUUAUAUGGUUGCUUUGCCUUUGGAUAUUGAAAUUACAACCGAAGAUGGCAGGAGGUUGACUAUUUUCUAAAUUUGCAUGGUCAAAAGUCAUGAAAUUGGAUUAGCUAAUAUUAAUGAGUUUUUAUUGUUUGACAUGAUAGUAUACUAUCCAUGUCUUAUAAUUAUAGAUGGCGGACUAAUG
RNAcentral lists this long non-coding RNA (1359 nucleotides) under Nicotiana tabacum (common tobacco). RNAcentral describes it as "long non-coding RNA (NTAB_LNC012292)". The record is from RNAcentral. Lineage: Eukaryota; Viridiplantae; Streptophyta; Magnoliopsida; Solanales; Solanaceae.